GAUGAACGCUGGCGGCGUGCCUAAUACAUGCAAGUCGAGCGAACAGACGAGGAGCUUGCUCCUCUGACGUUAGCGGCGGACGGGUGAGUAACACGUGGAUAACCUACCUAUAAGACUGGGAUAACUUCGGGAAACCGGAGCUAAUAGCGGAUAAUAUAUUGAACCGCAUGGUUCAAUAGUGAAAGACGGUUUUGCUGUCACUUAUAGAUGGAUCCGCGCCGCAUUAGCUAGUUGGUAAGGUAACGGCUUACCAAGGCGACGAUGCGUAGCCGACCUGAGAGGGGGAUCGGCCACACUGGAACUGGGACACCGUCCAGGCUCCUACGGGAGGCAGCAGUAGGGAAUCUUCCGCAAUGGGGGAAAGCCUGACGGAGCAACGCCGCGUGAGUGAUGAAGGUCUUCGGAUCGUAAAACUCUGUUAUUAGGGAAGAACAAAUGUGUACGUAACUAUGCACGUCUUGACGGUACCUAAUCAGAAAGCCACGGCUAACUACGUG
This 497-nucleotide ribosomal RNA is filed under the name uncultured bacterium. RNAcentral describes it as "partial 16S ribosomal RNA". It matches the Rfam family "Bacterial small subunit ribosomal RNA", at positions 28 to 507 of the family's 1533-position model. The record is from RNAcentral.